RNAcentral lists this ribosomal RNA (473 nucleotides) under uncultured bacterium. RNAcentral describes it as "bacterial SSU rRNA". It matches the Rfam family "Bacterial small subunit ribosomal RNA", at positions 328 to 793 of the family's 1533-position model. The record is from RNAcentral.
GCAGAGCACUCCUACGGGAGGCAGCAGUGGGGAAUAUUGCACAAUGGGGGAAACCCUGAUGCAGCCAUGCCGCGUGUGUGAAGAAGGCCUUCGGGUUGUAAAGCACUUUCAGUAGGGAGGAAGGUAGUGUAGUUAACACCUGCAUUAUUUGACGUUACCUACAGAAGAAGCACCGGCUAACUCCGUGCCAGCAGCCGCGGUAAUACGGAGGGUGCGAGCGUUAAUCGGAAUUACUGGGCGUAAAGCGCAUGCAGGCGGCCUGUUAAGUCAGAUGUGAAAGCCCGGGGCUUAACCUCGGAAUUGCAUUUGAAACUGGCAGGCUAGAGUCUUGUAGAGGGGGUAGAAUUUCAGGUGUAGCGGUGAAAAUGCGUAGAGAUCUGAAGGAAUACCAGUGGCGAAGGCGGCCCCCUGGACAAAGACUGACGCUCAGAUGCGAAAGCGUGGGGAGCAAACAGGAUUAGAUACCCUGGUAG